AGCAGCAGCCACGGUAAAACGAAGGGGGCUAGCGUUGCUCGGAAUGACUGGGCGUAAAGGGCGCGUAGGCGGAUGGCACAGUCAGAUGUGAAAUUCCCGGGCUUAACCUGGGGACUGCAUUUGAUACGUGUUGUCUAGAGUGAGGAAGAGGGUUGUGGAAUUCCCAGUGUAGAGGUGAAAUUCGUAGAUAUUGGGAAGAACACCGGUGGCGAAGGCGGCAACCUGGUCCUUGACUGACGCUGAGGCGCGAAAGCGUGGGGAGCAAACAGGAUUAGAUACCCCCGUAGUCCCUGUCUCUUAUAC
RNAcentral lists this ribosomal RNA (303 nucleotides) under uncultured bacterium. RNAcentral's name for it is "partial 16S ribosomal RNA". It matches the Rfam family "Bacterial small subunit ribosomal RNA", at positions 507 to 807 of the family's 1533-position model. The record is from RNAcentral.